Molecule: long non-coding RNA, 598 nt
Filed under: Phoenix dactylifera (date palm)
Lineage: Eukaryota; Viridiplantae; Streptophyta; Magnoliopsida; Arecales; Arecaceae
Description: long non-coding RNA (PDAC_LNC017906)
Source: RNAcentral
AUUAAACAGGGGUCCUGGAUUAUCAUAUAUCUUGAGUAAAUUUUAAUGAUGAUUUGGUUCUGUAGGGGAACAAUCUGUUGGACGAGAGGACGUUGAGCAGGAUUCUGUGCAUUCCGGUUCUUUAUCGCCGUGAGGGCGGGUGAUUGGUUGUCUAAAUUUUCAACAAAGGUAAGGAUCCUUGUAUGCCAAUCCUGCAUGAUAUAAUAUUUUUAUAUCUAGAUAUGUAUGAUAUGCUAUAAUCCAGAUAAAUCAAAAAUAGUUUUAUAUUAAAUUAUAUUUUGAUCGUGUUGGCUUGUGGUUGAUAUUAUGAUCGUAUUCGCUUGUGGUUGGUAUUAUGAUGGAUGCAUGCAUGCGCAUAACUUACACCUACAUAAUUGGACUGAUGGAUGUGGUGCUCUAAACUAACUAUGUGAUAUUGGUUGCCCCGUCACGGGCUGGAAACGUGACCGUGGUUAGUUUAAAGCCGAAAAUAAAUAUAAAUGAAUUGAUGUGUGGAUGUAAACUGGAUUGUAUGAGAAGGGACUUUGGGUUUAUCUUGUUAUUAUGGCAGGCCCCGUCACAGGCUGAAAAAUGUGGUACUUUGGUAGGCCCCCUCACA